Molecule: ribosomal RNA, 465 nt
Filed under: uncultured Streptococcus sp.
Lineage: Bacteria; Bacillati; Bacillota; Bacilli; Lactobacillales; Streptococcaceae
Description: bacterial SSU rRNA
Rfam family: Bacterial small subunit ribosomal RNA
Source: RNAcentral
CCUACGGGUGGCAGCAGUAGGGAAUCUUCGGCAAUGGACGGAAGUCUGACCGAGCAACGCCGCGUGAGUGAAGAAGGUUUUCGGAUCGUAAAGCUCUGUUGUAAGAGAAGAACGAGUGUGAGAGUGGAAAGUUCACACUGUGACGGUAUCUUACCAGAAAGGGACGGCUAACUACGUGCCAGCAGCCGCGGUAAUACGUAGGUCCCGAGCGUUGUCCGGAUUUAUUGGGCGUAAAGCGAGCGCAGGCGGUUAGAUAAGUCUGAAGUUAAAGGCUGUGGCUUAACCAUAGUACGUUUUGGAAACUGUUUAACUUGAGUGCAAGAGGGGAGAGUGGAAUUCCAUGUGUAGCGGUGAAAUGCGUAGAUAUAUGGAGGAACACCGGUGGCGAAAGCGGCUCUCUGGCUUGUAACUGACGCUGAGGCUCGAAAGCGUGGGGAGCAAACAGGAUUAGAUACCCCGGUAGUC